CUCUUAGUAAUUAAUCUUAGAUGUGUUUUGCGGACCAAGCCGACUCUCCUCAGUGCUCUGUUUUGAACUUCUCGUGAUGUCCUUAUUGUUAUUUUAAAAUCUUAUAAUAUUAAUUACAUCUUCCACUGAAGCGAGAGCUCAUUUGAAAAGUGGGCCUCCAGAAUGACAGGUGCUCAUUUGUGUAUUCAGAGGUCAAGGCAGGGUGCCAGCCUACUAUAUUAAAUAUAUUAUUAUUCAUCAUAAGGCAGAGAAAGUCAAUAAAAUAAGAACACUGCAGUGAUUGCUCUGUGCCUUCUUGAGCUUCAUACAAGUUUACCAGCACAUCCUUUGUCUCACAGAGCAAGUGUUGAUCAGUACAUUGUGCUUCUCUAUGGAUCAUGUAGGAUGUUUCACAACCUUUUUUCGUCCUCUGUAAACAGAAUUUGUGCUUAAACAUUGUCCUUUUCCUCUAUUUCUGUCAUUAAGUGCUCAAUUUCCUUGUCAUUUCCUGUUUGCAUGUGGGAAAGGGCAAAAGAGAGUUACAGAAAUAAGGAAAGUACAUGUCUGUGUGUGCAUGCAAAUUUAUGCUAGAGUGUACAUGGCUCAAGCAUCCAGUCUCCAGCCAUUUUUUGUUGAGAUGACUUCACAGAUCAACAAAGCAUGCCAGAUUUUAAUAGUGCACAGCAAUACUCCACAACUGCAUCGGCCCUCAGAACCCUAUCAUGGAGCUGUUUGGAUGAUCGUGUACUUUAAGGGAAAACCCUAAUGCUGCUGUUACUCCAUCAAGGCCAAUCUGAAUUGCAGUAACACACUGAUUUGCUUUUUGCACUACUUAGUGCAGUUUGGUUCUGUUCUUUCAGGAUGAACAGCUGGAAUGAGAAUCGAUUCUGAACUAUUCGGUUCUGCUCUUUAAAUCAUAAAAUGUAAUAAAUUGUUAACAUAAUGGCUUUUCAGUGUCCUCAGACACCACCUCUUUGGCAGGAUAGUGUCGAAAAAUAUAUUUUUGUUCCCUAUUGUCGUCGUACCUGCAGUAUGUCUUUAGUCUCCGAGCUCUGCUGCUGCCUAUUAUAAUAGGUGAGGUCCUUCCCAGAUGUCACCACCACUUUUUACUGGGCUCAGAGCAGUUUUGCCAUUUCUUCAUUAUACUAAAAUAGAGCAAAACUGGACCAGUACAGGGAAGCUUCUAUCCAGAACAUUUUAAUAAAAAUGAGAGUCUGAAUAAGAGGUGACUUAAAAGCAGAAUAUCAAAUGACCUGAUUCCUCACCUGUACAGGAAGCAGAUAAUUGUGCAAAGAGACUCUCAUAUAGCUAUGUUAUUAUUAAAGUUCUCGUUUUGUCAUCAGGUUUACAAAUCGGUUAUUUCAGAAUUAGAAAUGAUUCAUUUUUAAAUGUUUUUGUUUAAUGUUGCUCCCUUGCUUGUUAUCUGUUUUUAGUUAAUUUUACUGUGAAUUUGUGCCUUUUGUCAUUUUAUCUUCUGAACUACAUGGAGAUGUGAAUAAAAUAAAUAUGGAAAAAAA
Ictalurus punctatus (channel catfish) is the source of this 1496-nucleotide long non-coding RNA. Lineage: Eukaryota; Metazoa; Chordata; Actinopteri; Siluriformes; Ictaluridae. The record is from Ensembl.